CGUCCAACAGGGGAGACCCGCCUCCUUUCCCGGACACCCCCCGCUCAGCGCCCUAGCGUGCGCGCGCGUCCCCGCUUGUCGCCGGGCUCCGCGUCGAGAGCGCGCUCUGUGCGGCUGCGGCCGCCAGGUUGUUGUGGUUGUGAGAAGGCGGCGGCGGCGGCGGCGGCUGCGGAGUAGCUGCGGGAUGAGACGCCCCAGCGGCUCAGGUGCUGCUCCGCGCCGGCUCUGGCAGGGAGCCUGGUGGGGUGGCGGAGGAGGAGGCCGUGCCGUGGCGGACCUCGCCGUGUCGCGCUGCCCGACGGAGUCUUGCUCUGUCACCCAGGCUGGAGUGCAGUGUGGCAAGAUCUCGGCUCACUGCAACCUCCGCCUCCCUGGUUCAAGCGAUUCUUCUGCCACAGCCUCCCAAGUACCUGGGACUACAGGCCGAAGUGCAGGGGCACAGUCUUGCCUCACUGCAACCUCUGCCUCCCAGGUGCAAGUGAUUCUCAAGCCUCAGCCUCCCAAAUGGCUGGGAUUACAGGUAUGAGCCACUGCACCUGCCUUCAUUUAUUUUAAUAGCUGUGUAGUAGUCAGUCAUAUGAAUGAACAGGACACAAUUAUAGUCUUU
Callithrix jacchus (white-tufted-ear marmoset) is the source of this 607-nucleotide non-coding RNA. The record is from RefSeq and is a predicted model, not a curated record. Lineage: Eukaryota; Metazoa; Chordata; Mammalia; Primates; Cebidae.